This 252-nucleotide ribosomal RNA is filed under the name uncultured bacterium. RNAcentral's name for it is "partial 16S ribosomal RNA". It matches the Rfam family "Bacterial small subunit ribosomal RNA", at positions 524 to 776 of the family's 1533-position model. The record is from RNAcentral.
UACGGAGGAUGCGAGCGUUAUCCGGAUUUAUUGGGUUUAAAGGGUGCGUAGGCGGGCUUUUAAGUCAGCGGUAAAAAUUCGGGGCUCAACCCCGUCCGGCCGUUGAAACUGGGGGCCUUGAGUGGGCGAGAAGAAGGCGGAAUGCGUGGUGUAGCGGUGAAAUGCAUGGAUAUCACGCAGAACCCCGAUUGCGAAGGCAGCCUUCCGGCGCCCUACUGACGCUGAGGCACGAAAGUGCGGGGAUCGAACAGG